ACKGCUCAGUAACACGUGGAUAAUCUGCCCUAAGGUGGAGGAUAACCUCGGGAAACUGAGAAUAAUACUCCAUAGGUCUAGGAUGCUGGAAUGCACUUAGACUGAAAACUUCGGUGCCUUAGGAUGAGUCUGCGGACUAUCAGGUUGUAGUCAGGGUAAAGACCUGACUAGCCUACGACGGAUACGGGUUGUGAGAGCAAUAACCCGGAGAUGAUAUCUGAGACACGAUAUCAGGCCCUACGGGGCGCAGCAGGCGCGAAAACUUCGCACUGCGCGAAAGCGCGACGAGGGAAUCCCAAGUGUAUGCACGUAAGUGUAUACUGUUUCUCUGUCUAAAAAGCAGAGAGAGUAAGAGCUGGGUAAGACGGGUGCCAGCCGCCGCGGUAAUACCUGCAGCUCGAGUGGUGAUCGUUAUUAUUGGGCCUAAAACGUCCGUAGCCGGUCUUCUAAAUGCCUGGGUAAAUCGUAUGGCUUAACCAUACGAAUUCCGGGUAGACUGUUAGACUUGAGACCGGGAGAAGCUAGAGGUACUCCUGGGGUAGAGGUGAAAUUCUGUAAUCCUAGGGGGACGACCAGUGGCGAAGGCGUCUAGCUAGAACGGGUCCGACGGUGAGGGACGAAGCCCUGGGGCGCAAACGGGAUUAGAUACCCCGGUAGUCCAGGGUGUAAACGCUGCUUGCUUGAUGUUAGUCUGGCUCCGAGCCAGAUUAGUGUCGGAGAGAAGUUGUUAAGCAAGCUGCCUGGGAAGUACGGCCGCAAGACUGAAACUUAAAGGAAUUGGCGGGGGAGCAC
This 792-nucleotide ribosomal RNA is filed under the name uncultured Thermoplasmata archaeon. Its description in RNAcentral is "bacterial SSU rRNA". It matches the Rfam family "Archaeal small subunit ribosomal RNA", at positions 85 to 879 of the family's 1478-position model. The record is from RNAcentral. Lineage: Archaea; Methanobacteriati; Thermoplasmatota; Thermoplasmata.